GCGGGAAUAGCUCAGUUGGUAGAGCGCAACCUUGCGGAGGUUGAGGUCGCGAGUUCGAGCCUCGUUUCCCGCUCCA
RNAcentral lists this transfer RNA (76 nucleotides) under Ralstonia solanacearum UW551. Its description in RNAcentral is "tRNA-Arg". It matches the Rfam family "tRNA". Rfam says of the family: Transfer RNA (tRNA) molecules are approximately 80 nucleotides in length. Their secondary structure includes four short double-helical elements and three loops (D, anti-codon, and T loops). The record is from RNAcentral. Lineage: Bacteria; Pseudomonadati; Pseudomonadota; Betaproteobacteria; Burkholderiales; Burkholderiaceae.